Mytilus californianus (California mussel) is the source of this 1758-nucleotide long non-coding RNA. RefSeq lists it as uncharacterized. The transcript is spliced from 3 exons. NCBI's taxonomy places the organism in Eukaryota, Metazoa, Mollusca, Bivalvia, Mytilida, Mytilidae. The record is from RefSeq and is a predicted model, not a curated record.
GAUGUCAUGUAAUUAUAUAUCAGAGACAUAGUACUACCGGUAUUAUUGUAUAAUUGUAUGUGUCUGGUUAUAUAUAAUGUCAAGCAAAGGUUAAUACUUAGUAAAGAGAAAAUAAACCUCUGGGUGUACUUUUAUAAAGUGUUUGUCACUUGAAGAUAAGACAGUGGAAACGGAUAUUUGGAAACCAUGUCCUAUCAACUGCAUUUUUUAAUGGUAUACUUUGGACUUUUACUCACAAUGGCGGAAAGCGGAGAUACUAAAAUGAAAAUGAUGAGAGCCUUAAUGAAUAAACGAGCAGUGAACGUAAAAAAUGAAAAUCAUUUGCCCUACACCACAAUGCAUCCAUCGCCACCACCAACCACAAUGCCACCGACAACCCUGCCACCAGGAUGUGUUUAUAGAGGAAAGACAUAUCGUUUUGGUGAGAUGAUACAACAGGGACAAUCAGGAAACUGGUGCUAUUUUACAAUGUGUGACAAUUCCGGGCAAAUCAUAUAUGGGGAUGACUUUCAUUGUUCUACAACUAUAUUACCACCAACUACAUCACCACGUGGAUGUGUUAUUGAAGGGAAACAUUACCAACCUGGAGAACAAAUAUCUAGCGGACAAUCAGGAAACUGGUGUUAUUUCACAAUGUGCGACUAUUCAGGUCAAAUCAUUCAUGGGGAUGACUUUAAUUGUUUGACAACAUUACGGCCGACAACAUUACCACCAACACCUCCGAUAAUACAUAUAGGCUGAGAUAAUAAACUUCGUCGUAUUGUACAUUUUUUCAUUGUGGAAUAACUUGUUUAUAGGUUUUGAUGGAAAACAGUUGAAAAAACAUUGGUUCGUGUUGCUCAGUCUUUAUGUUGUAUUUGGUAUAUUGUUAUUUGUCUUUUGGUCUUUUUCUUUUUUUUUGCAUGGUGUUGACAAUUUAUUUUCGACUUAUGAGUUUAAGAGUAUCUUUGGUAUAUUUAGCCUCUCUUUUUGAAAUGUGCGAAGAAAACUAAGAAUUUUUUUCCCCAGGAAUAUAUUACCUUUAGCUAGCUGUUACAGUAUUUGACAAACCCUUUCGGAAUUUUUUAUCCUCAAUGCUCUUCAACUUCGUACUUUAUUUGAGCUUUUAAUUGUUUUUAUUCGAACGUCAUUGAUGAGUAUUUUGUAGACGUAACCUACGUCUCUGGCGUAAACAAUUUUCAGCCCGGUAUAUUUGUUGAUUUUUUUGUAAAUGUAAUUGAAACAAUUAUUCAUUUUUUUCUGAAUUAUACAUCCAUUAAAUGAAAAGUGUGUAUUUUAGUAAAUAUUGUGCUAAUUUUGUUUAAUAUAAAAAUAAGAAGAUGUAGUGUGAUUGCAAAUGAGACAACUGAUUAAAGUCUACUACAAAGAAUCAGUUUUGGCUAAUAAAUAAAGAAAUUAAGGUUAACUAAAUUGUGCUGUUUACAUACAUACAUUUGAAAAGUAAUCAUAUUAACUUAUCAUCGCCAUUUUCUAUGAAAAUUUUGAUUCUUUUUUGUUGGAGCAUUAGGACAGGUUUUACUGAGGUUUCAUUAUUUUUAUUUAUUCUGUCUAGAUCCAAUUAUAUCUUGCGCUAAACUAAUGAAUGUUCUUUGUGCAUACUCGACUGCUCAUCAUAUACAUUUUCAUCAUUUUAUUUGUUGUCUCUUAAACUUUUCGAAGGCCGGCUUUGGUACCAUCUGGAGAAAUGGGUUGCAAUAUAAAAUAAUUCUUAACCUAAUAGAUGAAUAUAUAAAGUAAUAAUAAAUGUGUUAUACCAAA